This 1327-nucleotide ribosomal RNA is filed under the name metagenomes. RNAcentral describes it as "bacterial LSU rRNA". It matches the Rfam family "Bacterial large subunit ribosomal RNA", at positions 1089 to 2518 of the family's 2925-position model. The record is from RNAcentral.
ACAACCAGGAGGUUGGCUUAGAAGCAGCCAUCCUUUAAAGAAAGCGUAAUAGCUCACUGGUCUAAUAGAGAUCCUGCGCCGAAGAUGUAACGGGGCUCAAACCACGUACCGAAGCUGUGGGUUUCUGAGGGGUAGCAGCCUCAGGAGCGGUAGCGGAGCGUUCCGUAGGCCUGUGAAGGGGUUGGGGUGACCUGUCCUGGAGGUAUCGGAAGUGCGAAUGCUGACAUGAGUAGCGACAAACAGGGUGAGAAACCCUGUCGCCGAAAGUCCAAGGGUUCCUGCGCAAGGUUAAUCCGCGCAGGGUGAGCCGGCCCCUAAGGCGAGGGCGAGAGCCGUAGCUGAUGGGAACCAGGUGAAUAGUCCUGGGCCUGCUAGAAGUGACGGAUGUGAGAUGUUGUCCCUGCUUAUCGGAUUGUGGGGGCUUUUGGAUCAUCCCGGGAAACAGCUCUAGCGUAUAGACCGUACCCUAAACCGACACAGGUGGACUGGUAGAGCAUACCAAGGCGCUUGAGAGAACGAUGCCGAAGGAACUAGGCAAAUUGCUCGCGUAACUUCGGGAUAAGCGAGACCCACGCGUGGGCAACCAGGUGUGGGUGGCACAGAGCAGGGGGUAGCGACUGUUUAGUAAAAACACAGGGCUCUGCGAAGUCGAGAGACGACGUAUAGGGUCUGACGCCUGCCCGGUGCCGGAAGGUUAAGAGGAGGGGUGCAAGCUCUGAAUUGAAGCCCCGGUAAACGGCGGCCGUAACUAUAACGGUCCUAAGGUAGCGAAAUUCCUUGUCGGGUAAGUUCCGACCUGCACGAAUGGCGUAACGACUUCCCCACUGUCUCCGGCAUCGGCUCAGCGAAAUUGAAUUCCCCGUGAAGAUGCGGGGUACCCGCGGUCAGACGGAAAGACCCUAUGAACCUUUACUGCAGCUUUGCAGUGGCAUUAGGAGAGCACUGUGUAGGAUAGGCGGGAGGCUAUGAAGCGUGGGCGCUAGCUUGCGUGGAGCCAUCCUUGAAAUACCGCCCUGCGCGCUUCUGAUGUCUAACCGCGUCCGGUCAGCCCGGACCGGGACCCUGCAUGGUGGGCAGUUUGACUGGGGCGGUCGCCUCCCAAAGUGUAACGGAGGCGCGCGAUGGUGGGCUCAGGCCGGUCGGACAUCGGCUGCUGAGUGCAAUGGCAUAAGCCCGCCUGACUGCGAGAGCGACAGUUCGAGCAGAGACGAAAGUCGGCCAUAGUGAUCCGGUGGUCCCGCGUGGAAGGGCCAUCGCUCAACGGAUAAAAGGUACUCUAGGGAUAACAGGCUGAUCUCCCCCAAGAGUCCACAUCGACGGGGAGGUU